GUUUUAUUAGGUCUAAAGCCACUCGCGCUGCGCGCUCGUGGCUUUAAACCUAAUAAAACACUCCUGCUCGUUUUUAAAUAGCACAUCAACAAUGUUUUUAUAGGCCUAUAGUGAUACUCGACGGCGCAUGCGGGUUGUAACGAGCUCCGUAAAAUCUUUUUAAAAUCUUCUUAAAGAUUUUGCAUUUUCCCUUUAGAGUUCUAACAAUAAAAUUACAAAACAGUGUAUAAAGGUCGCCUAGCUUGAAGAUAUGAGGUAUUUCGGUGGCGCAAUCGUCAGAGCACACACCUCUGCUAUCGUGGGUUCGAUUAUCGUUGACUUAUAAUAGUUACUGUAUGUGAACAGAGUUAGUCAACGCUCUGCCGAAAGUCCUGGGUUUCCUCCGGGCACUCUGGAUUUUUUUCUUCCCUUGAUAUAUAUUGAUUAAUGGCACUCAAACUUACAUGGAAAGAAUCUAUACACUGGCAUUACUGUAUUUGCAGAUGAUUGUUGUUUACUUAAAGAAUAAAUGACCCAGUUACACGAUACCAGAUUUGCAUCGCAGCGACAUCGCGUUAAGACGCUCCUGGUCACUAAUCAACCUCGUCCCCA
Paramuricea clavata is the source of this 591-nucleotide non-coding RNA. The record is from the annotation of a GenBank genome assembly. Lineage: Eukaryota; Metazoa; Cnidaria; Anthozoa; Malacalcyonacea; Plexauridae.